This 800-nucleotide ribosomal RNA is filed under the name uncultured Bacteroidota bacterium. Its description in RNAcentral is "bacterial SSU rRNA". It matches the Rfam family "Bacterial small subunit ribosomal RNA", at positions 46 to 842 of the family's 1533-position model. Lineage: Bacteria; Pseudomonadati; Bacteroidota. The record is from RNAcentral.
GCCUAAUACAUGCAAGUCGAGGGGCAGCGCAGUGUAGCAAUACAUGGGCGGCGACCGGCAAACGGGUGCGGAACACGUACGCAACCUUCCUUUAAGCGGGGGAUAGCCCAUAGAAAUGUGGAUUAAUACCCCUUAAGAUCAUGGACUGGCAUCAGUCAGUGAUUAAAGCUCCGGCACUUAGAGAUGGGCGUGCGCCUGAUUAGGUAGUUGGUGAGGUAACGGCUCACCAAGCCGACGAUCAGUAACUGGCGUGAGAGCGCGACCAGUCACACGGGCACUGAGACACGGGCCCGACUCCUACGGGAGGCAGCAGUAAGGAAUAUUGGUCAAUGGACGCAAGUCUGAACCAGCCAUGCCGCGUGGAGGAUGAAGGUCCUCUGGAUUGUAAACUUCUUUUAUCUGGGAAGAAAUGCCGAUUUUCUAAUUGGUUUGACGGUACCAGAUGAAUAAGCACCGGCUAACUCCGUGCCAGCAGCCGCGGUAAUACGGAGGGUGCAAGCGUUAUCCGGAUUCACUGGGUUUAAAGGGUGCGUAGGCGGAAUUGUAAGUCCGUGGUGAAAUCUCCGAGCUUAACUCGGAAACUGCCGUGGAUACUAUAGUUCUUGAAUGUUGUGGAGGUUUGCGGAAUAUGUCAUGUAGCGGUGAAAUGCUUAGAUAUGACAUAGAACACCGAUUGCGAAGGCAGCAGGCUACACAAAUAUUGACGCUGAGGCACGAAAGCGUGGGGAUCAAACAGGAUUAGAUACCCUGGUAGUCCACGCCCUAAACGAUGAUUACUCGACAUACGCGAUAUACAGUGU